Molecule: ribosomal RNA, 1206 nt
Filed under: Triticum aestivum (bread wheat)
Lineage: Eukaryota; Viridiplantae; Streptophyta; Magnoliopsida; Poales; Poaceae
Description: partial small subunit ribosomal RNA
Source: RNAcentral
AUGUGUCACCACCAGAGCGCCUUCAUACGAGAUCGAUCCAUCCAGGAUAAUUUUCUCUACGUUCGGAAUGUGAUCAAGGCCGCACACACUGCCAAAUCUCCCAUGGUGUUCCUGAAAUUGGAUAUAGCGAAAGCCUUUGAUUCGGUGUGCUGGGUUUUUCUUCUGGAGGUGAUGGAAGCAAUGGGCUUUGGACAGAGGUGGCGUGAUAUGAUAUCACUGAUGCUCUCAUCGUCCUCUUCACGUGUGCUGCUCAACGGAGUGCCUGGAGUGCCGUUUCAUCAUCGGUGUGGUUUAAGGCAAGGGGAUUCUUUGUCACCAUUGUUGUUCAUUUUGGCAAUGGAGCCGCUGCAGCGAUUGCUUCAGUUGGCAACACAGAGAAACAUUCUGUCGCGGCUACGACCGAGGGUAGCGCGCUUCCGAUCUAGUUUCUACGCCGAUGACGCAGCUUUGUUCAUCAACCCGGUGGCAGAUGACUUUAACGCUGUACAGGCCAUUCUCACCCUGUUUGGGGAUGCCUCUGGAUUAAGAACAAACGUGACCAAAUCAGUGGCCUACCCAAUAGCUUGUGCAAACAUAGAUAUGCAGUCAUUGUUCGUCUUUUUUGGAGGGGAGCCAGGAGCCUUCCCAUGUCAGUACCUAGGACUCCCACUCGGGACCCGGAAGCCAAGGAGGGUUGAGCUGCAGCCAUUGAUUGAUAAGAUUGCUAGAAGACUAUCUAACAGAAGGGGGAGGAUGAUGAACCGUAUGGGAAGGCUGGUGUACAUUAACUCGGUGGUCACAGCCACGGCUACAUAUUACCUAACGGCUUUCCAGCCGGACAAGUGGCUGAUCAAGAAAGUGAACAAACUUAGGAAGAAUUUCCUUUGGGAUGCGGACGAUGGAAACAUUGGGGGAAAGAGCUUGGUUAACUGGAGACAAGUUUGCACUCCAAAGCGAUAUGGUGGCCUUGGGGUGAAGAACAUCGAGUGCUUUGGCCGGGCAUUGAGGCUUCGCUGGGAGUGGUUUAGAUGGGGAGAGGAGGACAGGCCAUGGAAGGGCUCGGACACGCCUUGCGAUUCCACGGAUAAGCAACUCUUCGCCAGCUGCACCAAAAUUCAGCUGGGGGAUGGAAACACGGCAUUCUUUUGGACGGACAGAUGGCUUAAUGGCGAGGCAUUCUCUGUCUCUACCCCUGAGCUCUUCAAGUUGGCAAGGUUUAAAAACUGA